AUUGAACGCUGGCGGAAUGCUUUACACAUGCAAGUCGAGCGGCAGCGCGGGGGCAACCCUGGCGGCGAGCGGCGAACGGGUGAGUAACAUAUCGGAACGUACCCCGUCGUGGGGGAUAACACAGCGAAAGCUGUGCUAAUACCGCAUACGACCUGAGGGUGAAAGCGGGGGAUCGCAAGACCUCGCGCGAUGGGAGCGGCCGAUAUCGGAUUAGCUUGUUGGUGAGGUAAAGGCUCACCAAGGCGACGAUCCGUAGCUGGUCUGAGAGGACGACCAGCCACACUGGAACUGAGACACGGUCCAGACUCCUACGGGAGGCAGCAGUGGGGAAUUUUGGACAAUGGGGGCAACCCUGAUCCAGCCAUUCCGCGUGAGUGAAGAAGGCCUCGGGUUU
Molecule: ribosomal RNA, 394 nt
Filed under: uncultured bacterium
Lineage: Bacteria
Description: bacterial SSU rRNA
Rfam family: Bacterial small subunit ribosomal RNA
Source: RNAcentral